RNAcentral lists this ribosomal RNA (1301 nucleotides) under Escherichia coli. RNAcentral's name for it is "partial 23S ribosomal RNA". It matches the Rfam family "Bacterial large subunit ribosomal RNA", at positions 235 to 1578 of the family's 2925-position model. Lineage: Bacteria; Pseudomonadati; Pseudomonadota; Gammaproteobacteria; Enterobacterales; Enterobacteriaceae. The record is from RNAcentral.
UUCCCCCAGUAGCGGCGAGCGAACGGGGAGCAGCCCAGAGCCUGAAUCAGUAUGUGUGUUAGUGGAAGCGUCUGGAAAGGCGCGCGAUACAGGGUGACAGCCCCGUACACAAAAAUGCACAUGCUGUGAGCUCGAUGAGUAGGGCGGGACACGUGGUAUCCUGUCUGAAUAUGGGGGGACCAUCCUCCAAGGCUAAAUACUCCUGACUGACCGAUAGUGAACCAGUACCGUGAGGGAAAGGCGAAAAGAACCCCGGCGAGGGGAGUGAAAAAGAACCUGAAACCGUGUACGUACAAGCAGUGGGAGCACGCUUAGGCGUGUGACUGCGUACCUUUUGUAUAAUGGGUCAGCGACUUAUAUUCUGUAGCAAGGUUAACCGAAUAGGGGAGCCGAAGGGAAACCGAGUCUUAACUGGGCGUUAAGUUGCAGGGUAUAGACCCGAAACCCGGUGAUCUAGCCAUGGGCAGGUUGAAGGUUGGGUAACACUAACUGGAGGACCGAACCGACUAAUGUUGAAAAAUUAGCGGAUGACUUGUGGCUGGGGGUGAAAGGCCAAUCAAACCGGGAGAUAGCUGGUUCUCCCCGAAAGCUAUUUAGGUAGCGCCUCGUGAAUUCAUCUCCGGGGGUAGAGCACUGUUUCGGCAAGGGGGUCAUCCCGACUUACCAACCCGAUGCAAACUGCGAAUACCGGAGAAUGUUAUCACGGGAGACACACGGCGGGUGCUAACGUCCGUCGUGAAGAGGGAAACAACCCAGACCGCCAGCUAAGGUCCCAAAGUCAUGGUUAAGUGGGAAACGAUGUGGGAAGGCCCAGACAGCCAGGAUGUUGGCUUAGAAGCAGCCAUCAUUUAAAGAAAGCGUAAUAGCUCACUGGUCGAGUCGGCCUGCGCGGAAGAUGUAACGGGGCUAAACCAUGCACCGAAGCUGCGGCAGCGACGCUGAUGCGUUGUUGGGUAGGGGAGCGUUCUGUAAGCCUGCGAAGGUGUGCUGUGAGGCAUGCUGGAGGUAUCAGAAGUGCGAAUGCUGACAUAAGUAACGAUAAAGCGGGUGAAAAGCCCGCUCGCCGGAAGACCAAGGGUUCCUGUCCAACGUUAAUCGGGGCAGGGUGAGUCGACCCCUAAGGCGAGGCCGAAAGGCGUAGUCGAUGGGAAACAGGUUAAUAUUCCUGUACUUGGUGUUACUGCGAAGGGGGGACGGAGAAGGCUAUGUUGGCCGGGCGACGGUUGUCCCGGUUUAAGCGUGUAGGCUGGUUUUCCAGGCAAAUCCGGAAAAUCAAGGCUGAGGCGUGAUGACGAGGCACU